AUACGGCUCAGUAACACGUAGUCAACCUACCCUAUGGACGAGAAUAAUCUCGGGAAACUGAGCAUAAUUCUUGAUAGAUCAUAAUGCCUGGAAUGGUUUAUGGUUAAAAUGAUUCGUCGCCAUAGGAUGGGACUGCGGCCUAUCAGCUUGUUGGUGAGGUAAUGGCCCACCAAGGCGAUUACAGGUACGGGCUCUGAGAGGAGAAGCCCGGAGAUGGGUACUGAGACACGGACCCAGGCCCUAUGGGGCGCAGCAGGCGAGAAAACUUUGCAAUGUGCGAAAGCACGACAAGGUUAAUCCGAGUGAUUUCUGCUAAAGAAAUCUUUUGCCAGUCAUAAAACCACUGGUGAAUAAGGGGUGGGCAAGUUCUGGUGUCAGCCGCCGCGGUAAAACCAGCACCUCAAGUGGUCAGGAUGAUUAUUGGGCCUAAAGCAUCCGUAGCCGGCUUUGUAAGUUUUCGGUUAAAUCCAUGUGCUCAACGCAUGGGCUGCCGAAAAUACUGCAUGGCUAGGGAGUGGGAGAGGUAGACGGUACUCAGUAGGAAGGGGUAAAAUCCUUUGAUCUAUUGAUGACCACCUGUAGCGAAGGCGGUCUACCAGAACACGUUCGACGGUGAGGGAUGAAAGCUGGGGGAGCAAACCGGAUUAGAUACCCGGGUAGUCCCAGCUGUAAACGAUGCAGACUCGAUGAUGCAUUGGCAUAAUAGCCAGUGCAGUGUCGCAGGGAAGCCGUUAAGUCUGCCGCCUGGGAAGUACGCACGCAAGUAUGAAACUU
This 774-nucleotide ribosomal RNA is filed under the name uncultured marine group I thaumarchaeote. RNAcentral describes it as "SSU rRNA". It matches the Rfam family "Archaeal small subunit ribosomal RNA", at positions 83 to 857 of the family's 1478-position model. Lineage: Archaea; Thermoproteati; Nitrososphaerota. The record is from RNAcentral.